Long non-coding RNA from Clupea harengus (Atlantic herring), 3384 nucleotides. Lineage: Eukaryota; Metazoa; Chordata; Actinopteri; Clupeiformes; Clupeidae. The record is from Ensembl.
GUUCUGUUUGUUUGUUUGUUUGCUCUUUUGUGUUCUCUUUGUUUUGUUUUUCUUCGCCCUAUGUAAAGCGUCUUUGAGCACCUAGAAAAGCGCUAUAUAAAGUUAAAGUAUUAUUAUUAUUAUUAUUAUAACUAUUUUGAAUCAAUUCAUGAAAUUGUAUAAAAGGAAUCUCUCUUGAAGUGCUGUGAAAUAUAGGCCUAUGCUUUAAGAAAGAUGUGACAUUAGUGUUGAAAUCAAGGGAAUAAUGCCAUGUGUGUGAAGCCUAUCUGACACCCAGCAAAGAAACCGUAGCAGAGACAUCUGGGUGUUCUCUGGGUUUUUUGUAAAAAAGGAGAAACAACAUGAUAUAAAAUAAUAUAUUGUGUAAGGUGAAGCAACAAUGUCUAUAUAAUAAAUAUAGGCUUACACAGCAAAUAUAAACAAAGUAAAAGUAAUAAAAUACAGUCAAUGGAACUGGGUAAACAUUGCUUAAAUCUACACCACUGUGUACAGUGAAAGUACCACACAUGCUGUCCUUAGUGUGAUAUAAUACUAAUCGUUGUACUGAGUAGGCUAUGUGAACACACUAUGAUUAGUGCAGUGAGCAUGCGUGUUAAUCUCACACUAAGUGAGGACAGUGCAGUGAGCAUGCGUGUUAAUCUCACACUAAGUGAGGACAGUGCAGUGAGCAUGCGUGUUUGGCACUAUGAACUUGUGCUCACUACCCUGUGGCAUUAUGUAAAAAAAAAAAAAAUGUGUCAACCAGAUGAUUUCGAAAAGGCAACAUCUUAAAACAAACUGGUUGGACAGCUAGUGAUUGAGCUGUCAUUCCUCAAAGUAGACUAUAGCACCACUUGUGGCACUCAGCUUAAACAAAGACACAGCUCCAUUUGGUUUAGAACAGCAUUUAAUGCACAUCUUUUGUGGCAUCCGGUUCACAUCACAUUCACACAACGAUAUCCCAACCAUACGUUAGAACCAACGGUUCUGGUCGGCCACUAAACUGGACUCUCAUCGAUCACAGAGUUGUUUCAAAACCAAGCUCACCGUAGAGGAAUAUCUCACAGGCCCGUUCCCCUUUCCUCCUCACCAUGUGGAGCAGGCAGGUCACCUGGUCCUCGGUCACUCUGUGUUCUUGCAGAACCUGACUCCUCUCCAUUCCACUGAUCACCGGGGGCUUUCCUUUCUGAAGACCAUCUAUCAGAGCUUUCAGAGAGGCCUCUUCUCUCCUGUUUAUGAGUUCACACUGAACCUCAAACACUCCAUCUGGGAGGAGAUUUUAAACAAGCCUUGCUGGUCACCAGUUCUUUCAGGUCUUAUUCAUCACAGAUCUGAUUUUUCUCUCAUAGUGUUGGUUCCCCUCUCACUGCUCACCUGUGCCUCUAGGUGAAAGCGCUAAAGAUGUCUGACUGCUCACCUGUGACUUUAGCUGAAGGUGCUACAGAUGUCUGACUGUCACCUGUCUGACUGCUCACCUGUCUGACUGCUCACCUGUGCCUCUAGGUGAAAGCGCUAAAAGUGUCUGACUGCUCACCUGUGCCUCUAGAUGAAGGUGCUACAGAUGUCUGACUGCUCACCUGUCUGACUGUCACCUGUCUGACUGCUCACCUACUGUAUAUGACUGCUCAUCCGUGCCUUUAGCUGAAGGCGCUACAGAUGUCUGACUCGCUGUGUAGAGGGAUUUUGCCCAAGUGCUUAAAGCAGUGGAUCUUUACAAACAAGCUUCUGGCAUGUUCUCUUAAAUCUCUUAAAUUGAGCAGUCUUGUAUUUUGUGACGAUGAAUGCUGAAGGUAACCUGUCUGCUUCUCCAGUGUCGUUGAUUACCUACACACCUCUCAGUGAGCCACCCAUCUGGUCCAGUAAAGAACGCGCCUCUCUGUCUGUGCUGUCCACCACGUCCUGCACAACUGUAACCUCAGCCCUGGUUUCCUCAAUGGAUGAUGACACUGUGGAGACAAUAUGAUCAACUGAACCGGCACAUACUUGCAUGCGUAUGUGUGAUAUGUGAAAAGAGAUUAGCAAGAAAACAUUCCUAGAGACACCUAACUCCACACAGUAAAAAUGUGAUUAUGCCCAGAAAUCAAUAUUAUCACCUAGUAUCACUGUUUCUUUGGAGAAAGUGUGAAAAAGCCUCAACAUGCUGAAGUGAGUGACAGCUGAAACUCAACAUGCUGAAGUGAGUGACAGCUGAAGCUCAACAUGCUGAUGUGAGUGACAGCUGAAACUCAACACACUUUGAUGAUGAAAUAGUGUCUCUGCCCACAGUGAUUGCUGUCAUGAGCUAAUUACAACUUAAGCACAAUGAUUAGUAAUGAUUAUCAGAAGAUCAAAAUGAACACAUAUGAUGUUAGCGUUCUUGGCUGUUCUGUCAGUCUUUGAUUCUUUGGAUCUUUUUUUGGCACCAAAUUCAAACUUAAACAUUCUUUGGUAGAAGGAAAAAUAUAAGUGUUUAGUCUUUCUGAAAGCCGUUUUGAGCUUCAACUCAUGGACAGAUACCCUAACACACUGCUGCAGAAUGUCCUGGCCCAACAUUCAUAAGACAGAUACCCUGACACACUGCUGCAGAUUGUCCUGGCCCAACAUUCACAGGUCAGUCAACGAUGCCACGCUGUCCUGGGGCGGCCCUGAAGCUCUGGUCACAUUUGAGGUCAUAAUCAAGCAGAUGUGACCCAGGGUCAGGGGUCAAGGGUCAUGUGGAUAAGUAGAUCUGCCAGGUCAGCGCACUAUUGUGUGACUCAUAAACAGAAGCAGGUUUGCUACAGGUCCACACUAUGAUUAAUAAGGGUUUGCUACAGGUCCACACUAUGAUUAAUAAGGGUUUGCUACAGGUCCACACUAUGAUUAAUAAGGGUUUACUACAGGUCCACACUAUGAUUAAUAAGGGUUUACUACAGGUCCACACUGAUUAAUAAGGGUUUACUACAGGUCCACACUAUGAUUAAUAAGGGAUUGGAGCACAAACAGACUCACCUCGUGUCUUCGAGGUCAGAUUGAAGCCUGAAUGUGCUGCUUUCAAAGACCUCUUCUGUUGUUUCUGGCUGUCGGUGUGGCUCUCGUUUUGUUCUCCACACUCAACCACUCCCAGCGGUUGGACUUAGAGAUAGCCACGCCUCCUCCAGUGGCAAAGCAGAUAAGAGCAUAAACAAGUCAGGCCUCUACAAACACUGCUCUGGCACCCUACAAAUCUAAUGAUGUGAAAUCUAAAGAAAAAACAUGGAUUACUAAACUACAGUACAUUGGAAAUACAGAAAGUAGUCUUGUAGUGUUGUAGUAAUAAAGCUUCGAUAUUAGUGUUGCCAAAAGUUUCUAGAUGUGUUGAUACAUGGGCUGUGUCCUUAUGUGUGGCUGACGUGUGCCAUACUUUAUUCCCACCAUGAGCAUGUCAGGAAACACUCAAGACUUCAG